This 253-nucleotide ribosomal RNA is filed under the name uncultured bacterium. Its description in RNAcentral is "partial 16S ribosomal RNA". It matches the Rfam family "Bacterial small subunit ribosomal RNA", at positions 524 to 776 of the family's 1533-position model. The record is from RNAcentral.
UACGUAGGGUGCGAGCGUUAAUCGGAAUUACUGGGCGUAAAGCGUGCGCAGGCGGCUCUAUAAGACAGAUGUGAAAUCCCCGGGCUUAACCUGGGAACUGCGUUUGUGACUGUAGGGCUAGAGUGCGGCAGAGGGGGGUAGAAUUCCACGUGUAGCAGUGAAAUGCGUAGAGAUGUGGAGGAAUACCGAUGGCGAAGGCAGCCCCCUGGGUCGACACUGACGCUCAUGCACGAAAGCGUGGGGAGCAAACAGG